ACGGGAGGCAGCAGUGGGGAAUAUUGCACAAUGGGCGCAAGCCUGAUGCAGCGACGCCGCGUGAGCGAAGAAGUAUUUCGGUAUGUAAAGCUCUAUCAGCAGGGAAGAAAAUGACGGUACCUGACUAAGAAGCUCCGGCUAAAUACGUGCCAGCAGCCGCGGUAAUACGUAGGUGGCAAGCGUUGUCCGGAUUUACUGGGUGUAAAGGGUGCGCAGGCGGGACUGCAAGUUGGAUGUGAAAUACCGGGGCUCAACCCCGGAACUGCAUCCAAAACUGUAGUUCUUGGGUGGAGUAGAGGUAAGCGGAAUUCCGAGUGUAGCGGUGAAAUGCGUAGAUAUUCGGAGGAACACCAGUGGCGAAGGCGGCUUACUGGGCUCUAACUGACGCUGAGGCACGAAAGCAUGGGUAGCAAACAGGAUUAGAUACCCUGGUA
This 434-nucleotide ribosomal RNA is filed under the name uncultured Clostridiales Family IV bacterium. Its description in RNAcentral is "bacterial SSU rRNA". It matches the Rfam family "Bacterial small subunit ribosomal RNA", at positions 341 to 792 of the family's 1533-position model. Lineage: Bacteria; Bacillati; Bacillota; Clostridia; Eubacteriales; Eubacteriales Family IV. Incertae Sedis. The record is from RNAcentral.